RNAcentral lists this ribosomal RNA (604 nucleotides) under Streptococcus sp. 273. RNAcentral describes it as "bacterial SSU rRNA". It matches the Rfam family "Bacterial small subunit ribosomal RNA", at positions 74 to 661 of the family's 1533-position model. Lineage: Bacteria; Bacillati; Bacillota; Bacilli; Lactobacillales; Streptococcaceae. The record is from RNAcentral.
UGGUGCUUGCACUAGACGUCAUGAGUUGCGAACGGGUGAGUAACGCGUAGGUAACCUGCCUCAUAGCGGGGGAUAACUAUUGGAAACGAUAGCUAAUACCGCAUAACAGUAUUUACCGCAUGGUAGAUAUUUGAAAGGAGCAAUUGCUUCACUAUGAGAUGGACCUGCGUUGUAUUAGCUAGUUGGUGAGGUAACGGCUCACCAAGGCUUCGAUACAUAGCCGACCUGAGAGGGUGAUCGGCCACACUGGGACUGAGACACGGCCCAGACUCCUACGGGAGGCAGCAGUAGGGAAUCUUCGGCAAUGGGGGCAACCCUGACCGAGCAACCCGCGUGAGUNGAAGAAGGUUUUCGGAUCGUAAAGCUCUGUUGUAAGGGAAGAACUGUGAGAAGAGUGGAAAGUUUCUCACUUGACGGUAUCUUACCAGAAAGGGACGGCUAACUACGUGCCAGCAGCCGCGGUAAUACGUAGGUCCCGAGCGUUGUCCGGAUUUUUUUGGGCGUAAAGCGAGCGCAGGCGGUUUUGAUAAGUCUGAAGUAAAAGGCUGUGGCUUAACCAUAGUACGCUUUGGAAACUGUCAAACUUGAGUGCAGAAGGGGAGAG